RNAcentral lists this ribosomal RNA (451 nucleotides) under uncultured bacterium. RNAcentral's name for it is "bacterial SSU rRNA". It matches the Rfam family "Bacterial small subunit ribosomal RNA", at positions 340 to 784 of the family's 1533-position model. The record is from RNAcentral.
UACGGAAGGCAGCAGGGGGAAUAUUGCACAAUGGGCGCAAGCCUGAUGCAGCCAUGCCGCGUGUAUGAAGAAGGCCUUCGGGUUGUAAAGUACUUUCAGUCGUGAGGAAGGUGUUAAGGUUAAUAACCUUAGCAAUUGACGUUAGCGACAGAAGAAGCACCGGCUAACUCCGUGCCAGCAGCCGCGGUAAUACGGAGGGUGCGAGCGUUAAUCGGAAUUACUGGGCGUAAAGGGCACGCAGGCGGUUAAUUAAGUUGGAUGUGAAAUCCCCGGGCUUAACCUGGGAAUGGCAUUCAAGACUGGUUAGCUAGAGUCUUGUAGAGGGGGUAGAAUUCCAUGUGUAGCGGUGAAAUGCGUAGAGAUGUGGAGGAAUCCGGUGGCGAAGGCGGCCCCUGGACAAAGGACUGACGCUCAUGUGCGAAAGCGUGGGGAGCAAACGAGGGAUUAGAUA